CCUUCUCGCAGAGGCUUUUGACCUGGGACUCCGACAGCUGCUUGCACUCGUUCAGCUGCUCGAUCCACUGGUCCAGCUCCUUAGUGAACACCUU
Molecule: microRNA precursor, 94 nt
Filed under: Carlito syrichta (Philippine tarsier)
Lineage: Eukaryota; Metazoa; Chordata; Mammalia; Primates; Tarsiidae
Description: miRNA (ENSTSYG00000035260.1)
Rfam family: mir-3661 microRNA precursor family (bases 5-88)
Source: RNAcentral